GGCUGUCCUGCAAAUUUGGCCUGUUCUCAGAAGAAGUGACUCAGCAAAACGUCUUCUGAAAUGACAAUCCUGUUCAAACUUGGGGCCAAUAAAUUCACUGCUGAAAGAAUGGAAUAAGGCAACUGGACUUCAUUUUCCUUGAAGACGUUUCGUUUUCCAUCCAAGAAGCUUCUGCAGUACAGAAAGGUGGCUGGGGAAUUCUGGGAAUGGAAGUCCACCCAUAUUAAAGUUGCUCAGGGUGGAACAAUUCUUAAAAGACGUUAAAUGCUUGACACAGAUACGAUGGAAGAAGAAAACAAAGCAUUUUCAGGAGUGGAAACUUGCAACUAAUAUGAAGAACAAAUACAAGUAGCCCUUGAUUUAUGACCAUUCAUUUAGUGACCGUUCAAAGUUACAACAGCAUUGGGAAAAAAGUGUCUUCAAUCCCACAGCCAUCACAGAGUCCCUGCAGUCACAUGAUCAAAAUUCAAAAUGGCAACUGGCAUGCAUUUAUGAUGGUUGCAGUAUCCUGUGGUCACGUGAUGGCUGUUUAUGGCCUUCCCAGCUGUCUUCUUUGACAAGCAAAG
Long non-coding RNA from Notechis scutatus (mainland tiger snake), 566 nucleotides. RefSeq lists it as uncharacterized. Lineage: Eukaryota; Metazoa; Chordata; Lepidosauria; Squamata; Elapidae. The record is from RefSeq and is a predicted model, not a curated record.